UACAGAGGUCCCGAGCGUUGUUCGGAUUCAUUGGGCGUAAAGGGUGCGUAGGCGGCUUCCUAAGUUUGAUGUGAAAUCCUGGGGCUCAACCCUGGAACUGCAUUCGAUACUGCGUCGCUGGAGGACUGGAGAGGAGACUGGAAUUCACGGUGUAGCAGUGAAAUGCGUAGAUAUCGUGAGGAAGGCCAGUGGCGAAGGCGAGUCUCUGGACAGUUCCUGACGCUGAGGCACGAAGGCCAGGGGAGCAAACGGG
This 253-nucleotide ribosomal RNA is filed under the name uncultured bacterium. RNAcentral describes it as "partial 16S ribosomal RNA". It matches the Rfam family "Bacterial small subunit ribosomal RNA", at positions 524 to 776 of the family's 1533-position model. The record is from RNAcentral.